RNAcentral lists this ribosomal RNA (1008 nucleotides) under Staphylococcus sp. HMSC078B01. RNAcentral's name for it is "bacterial LSU rRNA". It matches the Rfam family "Bacterial large subunit ribosomal RNA", at positions 1467 to 2473 of the family's 2925-position model. Lineage: Bacteria; Bacillati; Bacillota; Bacilli; Caryophanales; Staphylococcaceae. The record is from RNAcentral.
GGGGGACGCAGUAGGAUAGGCGAAGCGUACGAUUGGAUUGUACGUCUAAGCAGUGAGAUUGAGUGUUAGGCAAAUCCGGCACUCUUAAGAUUGAGCUGUGAUGGGGAGAGGAAAUUGUUUCCUCGAGUCGUUGAUUUCACACUGCCGAGAAAAGCCUCUAGAUAGAUAAUAGGUGCCCGUACCGCAAACCGACACAGGUAGUCAAGAUGAGAAUUCUAAGGUGAGCGAGCGAACUCUCGUUAAGGAACUCGGCAAAAUGACCCCGUAACUUCGGGAGAAGGGGUGCUCUUUAGGGUGCAAGCCCAGAAGAGCCGCAGUGAAUAGGCCCAAGCGACUGUUUAUCAAAAACACAGGUCUCUGCUAAACCGUAAGGUGAUGUAUAGGGGCUGACGCCUGCCCGGUGCUGGAAGGUUAAGAGGAGUGGUUAGCUUCUGCGAAGCUACGAAUCGAAGCCCCAGUAAACGGCGGCCGUAACUAUAACGGUCCUAAGGUAGCGAAAUUCCUUGUCGGGUAAGUUCCGACCCGCACGAAAGGCGUAACGAUUUGGGCACUGUCUCAACGAGAGACUCGGUGAAAUCAUAGUACCUGUGAAGAUGCAGGUUACCCGCGACAGGACGGAAAGACCCCGUGGAGCUUUACUGUAGCCUGAUAUUGAAAUUCGGCACAGCUUGUACAGGAUAGGUAGGAGCCUUUGAAACGUGAGCGCUAGCUUACGUGGAGGCGCUGGUGGGAUACUACCCUAGCUGUGUUGGCUUUCUAACCCGCACCACUUAUCGUGGUGGGAGACAGUGUCAGGCGGGCAGUUUGACUGGGGCGGUCGCCUCCUAAAAGGUAACGGAGGCGCUCAAAGGUUCCCUCAGAAUGGUUGGAAAUCAUUCAUAGAGUGUAAAGGCAUAAGGGAGCUUGACUGCGAGACCUACAAGUCGAGCAGGGUCGAAAGACGGACUUAGUGAUCCGGUGGUUCCGCAUGGAAGGGCCAUCGCUCAACGGAUAAAAGCUACCCCGGGG